UGCAGUCGAGCGAACUGAUUAGAAGCUUGCUUCUAUGACGUUAGCGGCGGACGGGUGAGUAACACGUGGGCAACCUGCCUGUAAGACUGGGAUAACUUCGGGAAACCGAAGCUAAUACCGGAUAGGAUCUUCUCCUUCAUGGGAGAUGAUUGAAAGAUGGUUUCGGCUAUCACUUACAGAUGGGCCCGCGGUGCAUUAGCUAGUUGGUGAGGUAACGGCUCACCAAGGCCACGAUGCAUAGCCGACCUGAGAGGGUGAUCGGCCACACUGGGACUGAGACACGGCCCAGACUCCUACGGGAGGCAGCAGUAGGGAAUCUUCCGCAAUGGACGAAAGUCUGACGGAGCAACGCCGCGUGAGUGAUGAAGGCUUUCGGGUCGUAAAACUCUGUUGUUAGGGAAGAACAAGUACAAGAGUAACUGCUUGUACCCUUGACGGUACCUAACCAGAAAGCCACGGCUAACUACGUGCCAGCAGCCGCGGUAAUACGUAGGUGGCAAGCGUUAUCCGGAAUUAUUGGGCGUAAAGCGCGCGCAGGCGGUUUCUUAAGUCUGAUGUGAAAGCCCACGGCUCAACCGUGGAGGGUCAUUGGAAACUGGGGAACUUGAGUGCAGAAGAGAAAAGCGGAAUUCCACGUGUAGCGGUGAAAUGCGUAGAGAUGUGGAGGAACACCAGUGGCGAAGGCGGCUUUUUGGUCUGUAACUGACGCUGAGGCGCGAAAGCGUGGGGAGCAAACAGGAUUAGAUACCCUGGUAGUCCACGCCGUAAACGAUGAGUGCUAAGUGUUAGAGGGUUUCCGCCCUUUAGUGCUGCAGCUAACGCAUUAAGCACUCCGCCUGGGGAGUACGGUCGCAAGACUGAAACUCAAAGGAAUUGACGGGGGCCCGCACAAGCGGUGGAGCAUGUGGUUUAAUUCGAAGC
This 921-nucleotide ribosomal RNA is filed under the name Priestia megaterium. RNAcentral's name for it is "bacterial SSU rRNA". It matches the Rfam family "Bacterial small subunit ribosomal RNA", at positions 56 to 957 of the family's 1533-position model. The record is from RNAcentral. Lineage: Bacteria; Bacillati; Bacillota; Bacilli; Caryophanales; Bacillaceae.